Hippocampus zosterae (dwarf seahorse) is the source of this 2785-nucleotide long non-coding RNA. RefSeq lists it as uncharacterized. The transcript has 4 exons. NCBI's taxonomy places the organism in Eukaryota, Metazoa, Chordata, Actinopteri, Syngnathiformes, Syngnathidae. The record is from RefSeq and is a predicted model, not a curated record.
CCCCCUCGCCCCCAUGUCAUUCUCUGACCUUGUUCCACUUAUGGGGCACUCGAUAUCUGAGGUACCACUACAUUGUACUGUUGUUGCGUUCUCUUAUCUCCUGCUCCAGGAUUGUUUCCAUUUCAGUCUUUUUUUUUUUUUUAGGGGAGACGUGUUCAUCAGCGCAAUUCUCAUGCAGCUAUGUUUUUGUUGUUAAUACCAAUGCUUUCCUUUUUUUGUGUGUGUUUGUUUUUUUGGUUAUUUCUGUGAUAGUGACCUACCACGUGUGAUCAUGACUUACCAAAUACACACUGAGAACUGCAAGGAAACAGGUUGAGAUUGAUAAUAACACGAUCAAUGAUCCUGUUUCUUUGGCACUAGCCAUAAAAAUCAAACAAACAAUAAAAUCAUUGAUUCCACGCCAAAAUAAUUCCCACCCUCAAGCGUACCUAACUACGCCCUAAACAGAACAUGAAAGACAGCAUCCUGCAGGGAGACAGUUGUUCCUCGAGGUUCCAUAUGGGUUGACUUUAAACCCCCCUUGUAGAGCUGUUAUGUGACUUGUUUACCUUAGAAAUCACAAUGUUGAAAACCUAUGCAAAGAUACCAUACCAAACUCAACUGUACAGUGGUACCUGUACUUGCGAACGUCUCUUCAUACACAAUUUUCAAGUUACGAAAUGCCUCAACAGGAAAAUAUUGCCUCUUGGUUCAAAAGAAAUUUCAAAAUACUUUCACCAGUCAGGCGAUUGUUCACUAUGCUGACGUGUGCCUUGGACAUUUUUGAAGGCUUGUCAAGAGUCAACAAAAGCAAACGCCCUUGCAUCAGUUCUUUACACAACGCCAGGCAAAAACAACUUCUGAGAGGACAUGAACUAAAAAGGGCAAAAAAAACGAUGAGGGCCCAGUUAAAAGUUAAAUGACCAUCAUUUGUAUCUUUUAUUCUUUGUUUUUUACAUUGUGCAUAACUCAUUUAUUGUGCCAUAAUCUAAUUGCAACAUGUAUUUGUGACAUUUUGAUGCAUUUUUAUGCUUUACAAAACAUUUUUGUCCUAAUUUUGUGUGGCUUGGAACGGAUUAGCGCAUUUACAUGGAAAAUGCGUGUCUACUUACAAUUUUUCUACUUAGGAAAUUUCUUCCAGAACCAAUUAAUUUCAUACGUAGAGAUACCACUGUAUCUGUAAUCUCUUUAAAAUAAUGUAAAAACAAAAAAUGUAAAACAAAUUCAAAUAAGUUGAACAUAACAGCAAAUAAUCGCCAUCUCGUGUGUAAAAUAGAAAACUUUACAUAGAGCUCUCAAUACCCACCUAUGGUGUCAAAAAUAAUCUCUGUAAAAAUAAAAAUAAAAAAUAAUGGAAGCAAAUUAUUACAUUCCAUAAACUUCAAUACUCCACGCCCAGAAAACCAUCACUUCCCCAUGUUGACUUUGAAACGUGUUGACGAUGGAUGACGUCGCACUUUCACUGUCAACCGUCGACGAUACUACACCACCCUUCCAGUUUGACCAAACCCGCGUGCUACCUGUUAUGCUGCUGUGUUACAAUCAGUGGACAUUCCUUCUGAGGGCGGGGGAUGACGUUUCCCAUCGCAUCCCAAUGCAAACUACUAUGCCAGCGUAACUGUGUUUUGGAAGGAUGCCGUAUGUGUUAUUCCACUUAAGUUAUGUUGUCGAGAGGUGUGUCUAAUUGUUUGCUUGUGCCUACAGAUCUGUGGCUUUAGGCUUGACGGCACAUGACUUAUCACAUCGGUGUUAUUUUUAGUGCGCCUGCGUUUUGCAAAUGACCUUAACUGGACCUAUACGCAUCAACAAUUUAUAGACCAGUAGCAGAUUUUAAGAAUUUGAAGAUUUGGACUGCACAACAAAGCGCUGAAAUUGCGUGGAUGAUGCGGCUUCAUAUUUCGCUGGACUGAUGGAACUGAAAUCGGUCCGUUGGUACUCUUAGUAUGAGUCACUACGGCGUGGAUGCAUGAAACAAGACAGACAUUUCUGCCGGCAUACCUUUGACAUGAGAAAACGUCACAUCUUUGAAAACAGAUGACAGUACUCCCGUUUGCAUCAUUUUCGGGGUGUUCCACUGAGGUUUCUCUGUGCAGCUGUCGUUUCGGUUUCAUUUGACGUCAUUCCCUCUGCUAAUGUCAUUAAGAUCUUUAUCCCACUGGAAGUCGGCGUCCAUCUGGACCACUCGGAAUCACAACAACAAGCCGCUUCUGGUUUGUUCACUUGUCUUGUUCCUCAACCUGGAUUAACACUUACUUCAAAGAAUUCCCAGGACUGCUUAUUUAAUUCUGUUCUGUUUGGUCUCCUGUGGUUUCAAAUUUAACUACAUUAGACUGUAUUUGUUUUUUAAUUCGAAUGAUCCAAACGAAACGCCUCGAGGACAAAAAGUCUGUGGAAAACCAGACGAGACUUUCUGCUAGACAUAUUUAAUGGCAAAUGUCGCGGUCCUUGGGUCACGCGGUUCAACGUGAGCUAGGUGCUCUGUGACAAACGCAAGCAGGAAUGCGAUGAAUUAGCUUCAUGCAAGUGCCAACUUUUAACACGGUAAAGUCUUUCUGUGGGACAUGCCAUUAGGUACACCUGCACAGUAUCAAGCCAUCCAAUACAAAAGAUGCGCCUGAAUUUUUGCCUGUACAAUCAAACAUCAAUUCAUACAUUUAGAUUUUUAAAGUGUGUGUGUGUGUGUGUGUAUGUGUAUAUAUAUAUAAAUGGACAAAAUAAGUGUCGUUAUAAAUUAAAUCAUUAAAAAGUUUCUCCAUAAUGAUAUGAAAAUAAAAAAAGACCAAGUUUUAUGAUUAAAAAUAUAAUA